Molecule: ribosomal RNA, 255 nt
Filed under: uncultured bacterium
Lineage: Bacteria
Description: partial 16S ribosomal RNA
Rfam family: Bacterial small subunit ribosomal RNA
Source: RNAcentral
CAAACCAAAGCUGGCGACCGGCGCACGGGUGAGUAACACGUAUCCAACCCGCCUCAUACUCGGGGAUAGCCUUUCGAAAGAAAGAUUAAUAUCCGAUAGCAUAUAUUUCCCGCAUGGGUUUUAUAUUAAAGAAAUUCGGUAUGAGAUGGGGAUGCGUUCCAUUAGUUUGUUGGGGGGGUAACGGCCCACCAAGACUACGAUGGAUAGGGGUUCUGAGAGGAAGGUCCCCCACAUUGGAACUGAGACACGGUCCAA